This 246-nucleotide long non-coding RNA is filed under the name Elaeis guineensis (African oil palm). RNAcentral describes it as "long non-coding RNA (EGUI_LNC075152)". Lineage: Eukaryota; Viridiplantae; Streptophyta; Magnoliopsida; Arecales; Arecaceae. The record is from RNAcentral.
AGGUGGUGUCCUUCCUUGUUACAUUCUAUUUGAGCUUUAUUAUGAUUCUCUUCUUCCAUUGGGGAUAAUAAAAAUUAAGUUGGGGAAAAGAAUAACUAAUUUAAUUAAGUCCUCGAGUAUGGUCAGAAAUAAUUAGUUUUGUAUAUCUGAAUUUUAUCUCAAUUUGAAGUUAACUAGAUACCUUAAUUAAUGAGUGAUUAACAGUCUAGAUAAUUUUAGAGAUAUUAAGGAAGAAAUUAUUAAGGA